GUGGGGAAUAUUGCGCAAUGGGCGAAAGCCUGACGCAGCAACGCCGCGUGGGUGAUGAAGGCCUUCGGGUCGUAAAGCCCUGUCAGGUGGGAAGAAAGGCCUGGAGAGGAAAGGUUUCAGGUUUGACGGUACCACCAGAGGAAGCACCGGCUAACUCCGUGCCAGCAGCCGCGGUAAUACGGAGGGUGCGAGCGUUAUUCGGAAUUACUGGGCGUAAAGCGCGUGUAGGCGGGGGGACAAGUCUGAUGUGAAAGCCCUGGGCUUAACCUGGGAAGCGCAUUGGAAACUGUUUUUCUUGAGUACUGGAGAGGAAGGGGGAAUUCCCGGUGUAGAGGUGAAAUUCGUAGAGAUCGGGAGGAAUACCAGUGGCGUAGGCGCCCUUCUGGACGGUAACUGACGCUGAGACGCGAAAGCGUGGGGAGCAAACAGGAUUAGAAACCCUAGUAGUCC
This 450-nucleotide ribosomal RNA is filed under the name uncultured bacterium. RNAcentral's name for it is "partial 16S ribosomal RNA". It matches the Rfam family "Bacterial small subunit ribosomal RNA", at positions 354 to 796 of the family's 1533-position model. The record is from RNAcentral.